Molecule: ribosomal RNA, 253 nt
Filed under: uncultured bacterium
Lineage: Bacteria
Description: partial 16S ribosomal RNA
Rfam family: Bacterial small subunit ribosomal RNA
Source: RNAcentral
UACGGGGGGGGCAAGCGUUGUUCGGAAUUAUUGGGCGUAAAGGGUGCGUAGGCGGCGGAGUAAGUUGGGUGUGAAAUCCCGGGGCUCAACCUCGGAAUUGCAUUCAAUACUGCUUCGCUCGAGUACUGGAGAGGAGGCUGGAAUUUACGGUGUAGCAGUGAAAUGCGUAGAUAUCGUAAGGAAGGCCGGUGGCGAAAGCGAGCCUCUGGACAGUUACUGACGCUGAUGCACGAAGGCCAGGGGAGCAAACGGG